This 170-nucleotide microRNA precursor is filed under the name Triticum aestivum (bread wheat). RNAcentral's name for it is "MIR2118 microRNA precursor family". It matches the Rfam family "MIR2118 microRNA precursor family". Lineage: Eukaryota; Viridiplantae; Streptophyta; Magnoliopsida; Poales; Poaceae. The record is from Rfam by way of RNAcentral.
GCUAGGAAGAGGAAUAAAGAGAGGGCCUAAGAGCAAUGGGGGUGAGAACAUAGAGGAAAGCCUAGUUAUGAGUUCUUCGCCUCUUGUGUUGAGGUGGAGAUCCCAUUUGGUAUUUCCUGAUGCCUCUCAUUCCUAUCGUUCUUAAGCGCUCCUUCAUCUUCCUUUUUGUU